GUGUCAGCCGCCGCGGUAAUACGUAGGGUGCAAGCGUUAAUCGGAAUUACUGGGCGUAAAGCGUGCGCAGGCGGUUAUAUAAGUCAGAUGUGAAAUCCCCGGGCUCAACCUGGGAACUGCAUUUGAGACUGUAUAGCUAGAGUACGGUAGAGGGGGAUGGAAUUCCGCGUGUAGCAGUGAAAUGCGUAGAUAUGCGGAGGAACACCGAUGGCGAAGGCAAUCCCCUGGACCUGUACUGACGCUCAUGCACGAAAGCGUGGGGAGCAAACAGGAUUAGAUACCCUGGUAGUCCACGCCCUAAACGAUGUCAACUGGUUGUUGGGUCUUAACUGACUCAGUAACGAAGCUAACGCGUGAAGUUGACCGCCUGGGGAGUACGGCCGCAAGGUUGAAACUUAAAUGAAUUGACGGGG
RNAcentral lists this ribosomal RNA (413 nucleotides) under uncultured prokaryote. RNAcentral's name for it is "bacterial SSU rRNA". It matches the Rfam family "Bacterial small subunit ribosomal RNA", at positions 505 to 918 of the family's 1533-position model. The record is from RNAcentral.